This 492-nucleotide ribosomal RNA is filed under the name uncultured bacterium. RNAcentral describes it as "partial 16S ribosomal RNA". It matches the Rfam family "Bacterial small subunit ribosomal RNA", at positions 29 to 507 of the family's 1533-position model. The record is from RNAcentral.
AGUGAACGCUGGCGGUAGGCCUAACACAUGCAAGUCGAACGGCAGCACAGUAAGAGCUUGCUCUUACGGGUGGCGAGUGGCGGACGGGUGAGGAAUACAUCGGAAUCUACUUUUUCGUGGGGGAUAACGUAGGGAAACUUACGCUAAUACCGCAUACGACCUACGGGUGAAAGCAGGGGAUCUUCGGACCUUGCGCGAUUGAAUGAGCCGAUGUCGGAUUAGCUAGUUGGCGGGGUAAAGGCCCACCAAGGCGACGAUCCGUAGCUGGUCUGAGAGGAUGAUCAGCCACACUGGAACUGAGAAACGGUCCAGAGUCCUAAGGGAGGCAGCAGUGGGGAAUAUUGGACAAUGGGCGCAAGCCUGAUCCAGCCAUACCGCGUGGGUGAAGAAGGCCUUCGGGUUGUAAAGCCCUUUUGUUGGGAAAGAAAAGCAGCAGGUUAAUACCCCGCUGUUCUGACGGUACCCAAAGAAUAAGCACCGGCUAACUUCGUG